UAGGGAAUCUUCCACAAUGGACGAAAGUCUGAUGGAGCAACGCCGCGUGAGUGAUGAAGGGUUUCGGCUCGUAAAACUCUGUUGUUGGAGAAGAACAGGUGUGAGAGUAACUGUUCACAUCUUGACGGUAUCCAACCAGAAAAGCCACGGCUAACUACGUGCCAGCAGCCGCGGUAAUACGUAGGUGGCAAGCGUUGUCCGGAUUUAUUGGGCGUAAAGCGAGCGCAGGCGGUUUCUUAGGUCUGAUGUGAAAGCCUUCGGCUUAACCGGAGAAGUGCAUCGGAAACCAGGAGACUUGAGUGCAGAAGAGGACAGUGGAACUCCAUGUGUAGCGGUGAAAUGCGUAGAUAUAUGGAAGAACACCAGUGGCGAAGGCGGCUGUCUGGUCUGUAACUGACGCUGAGGCUCGAAAGCAUGGGUAGCGAGCAGGAUUAGAUACCCUGGUAGUCCAUGCCGUAAACGAUGAGUGCUAAGUGUUGGAGGGUUUCCGCC
This 492-nucleotide ribosomal RNA is filed under the name uncultured bacterium. Its description in RNAcentral is "partial 16S ribosomal RNA". It matches the Rfam family "Bacterial small subunit ribosomal RNA", at positions 355 to 838 of the family's 1533-position model. The record is from RNAcentral.